This 506-nucleotide ribosomal RNA is filed under the name uncultured bacterium. Its description in RNAcentral is "bacterial SSU rRNA". It matches the Rfam family "Bacterial small subunit ribosomal RNA", at positions 791 to 1297 of the family's 1533-position model. The record is from RNAcentral.
UAGUCCACGCCGUAAACGAUGAGUGCUAGACGUUGGAGGGUUUUCCUUCAGUGUUGAAGCUAACGCAUGAAGCACUCCGCCUGAGUAGUACGGUCGCAAGAUUAAAACUUAAAGGAAUUGACGGGGGCCCGCACAAGCGGUGGAGCAUGCGGUUUAAUUCGAAGCAACACGAAGAACCUUACCAGCUUUUGACAUGAGAAUUAGGGGUUUUAGAGAUAAAGCCCGUCGGUUCGGCCGGAUUCUACACAGGUGCUGCAUGACUGUCGUCAGCUCGUGUCGUGAGAUGUUGGGUUAAGUCCCGCAACGUGCGCAACCCUCGUCACUAGUUACUAACGGUUCGGCCGAGGACUCUAGUGAGACUGCCUUCGCAAGGAGGAGGAAGGUGAGGACGACGUCAAGUCAUCAUGGCCCUUACGGCUAGGGCAACACACGUGCUACAAUGGCCAGGACAAUGAGAAGCGAUACCGCGAGGUGGAGCAAAUCUAUAAACCUGGUCUCAGUUCGGA